CCGACCCGUCUUGAAACACGGACCAAGGAGUCUGACAUGCGUGCGAGUCGACGGGUUUUGAAACCUGGGAUGCGCAAGGAAGCUGACGAGCGGGAGGCCCUCACGGGCCGCACCGCUGGCCGACCCUGAUCUUCUGUACAGGGUUCGAGUUGGAGCACGCCUGUCGGGACCCGAAAGAUGGUGAACUAUGCCUGAGCGGGGCGAAGCCAGAGGAAACUCUGGUGGAGGCUCGAAGCGAUACUGACGUGCAAAUCGUUCGUCUGACUUGGGUACAGGGGCGAAAGACUAAUCGA
Hordeum vulgare subsp. vulgare (domesticated barley) is the source of this 293-nucleotide non-coding RNA. Lineage: Eukaryota; Viridiplantae; Streptophyta; Magnoliopsida; Poales; Poaceae. The record is from Rfam.